This 509-nucleotide ribosomal RNA is filed under the name uncultured bacterium. RNAcentral describes it as "bacterial SSU rRNA". It matches the Rfam family "Bacterial small subunit ribosomal RNA", at positions 17 to 518 of the family's 1533-position model. The record is from RNAcentral.
UUAUGGCUCAGAUUGAACGCUGGCGGCAGGCCUAACACAUGCAAGUCGAACGGUAACAGGAGAAGCUUGCUCUUGCUGACGAGUGGCGGACGGGUGAGUAAUGUCUGGGAAACUGCCUGAUGGAGGGGGAUAACUACUGGAAACGGUAGCUAAUACCGCAUAACGUCGCAAGACCAAAGAGGGGGACCUUCGGGCCUCUUGCCAUCGGAUGUGCCCAGAUGGGAUUAGCUAGUAGGUGGGGUAACGGCUCACCUAGGCGACGAUCCCUAGCUGGUCUGAGAGGAUGACCAGCCACACUGGAACUGAGACACGGUCCAGACUCCUACGGGAGGCAGCAGUGGGGAAUAUUGCACAAUGGGCGCAAGCCUGAUGCAGCCAUGCCGCGUGUAUGAAGAAGGCCUUCGGGUUGUAAAGUACUUUCAGCGGGGAGGAAGGGAGUAAAGUUAAUACCUUUGCUCAUUGACGUUACCCGCAGAAGAAGCACCGGCUAACUCCGUGCCAGCAGCGGC